RNAcentral lists this long non-coding RNA (297 nucleotides) under Ricinus communis (castor bean). RNAcentral describes it as "long non-coding RNA (RCOM_LNC002776)". Lineage: Eukaryota; Viridiplantae; Streptophyta; Magnoliopsida; Malpighiales; Euphorbiaceae. The record is from RNAcentral.
AACUACGAGUCCACCGUAUUAUCUACACUUGUUUUCUUCCUUCUUAAUUUUUGCCAUUAUCUACUAAACCUUCUUUGCAUUUUCUAGAACUCUGAUCUCUCUCUCUCUCUCUCUCUCUCUCCUUCCUUCUCCCUCUUCCACUUUCUUCAAUUCCCAUUUCUGUACUGUACUGCUCUUUAUAUUCUCCAAAUCUUUCCUUAAUUUUAUGCCUAACAUUUUACCAGAAUUCCUAUCACCAACAGCCCUUUUCUCUCUUCUUUAAUUCUUGCUUAUUUAUCUAACCAACAAACCCAANNN